GCUUCUGUGGUGUAGUGGUUAUCACGUCCGCUUUACACGCGGAAGGUCCCCGGUUCGAUACCGGGCAGAAGCA
Molecule: non-coding RNA, 73 nt
Organism: Teleopsis dalmanni
Lineage: Eukaryota; Metazoa; Arthropoda; Insecta; Diptera; Diopsidae
Source: the annotation of a RefSeq genome assembly